Molecule: ribosomal RNA, 445 nt
Filed under: uncultured bacterium
Lineage: Bacteria
Description: bacterial SSU rRNA
Rfam family: Bacterial small subunit ribosomal RNA
Source: RNAcentral
UCCAGACUCCUACGGGAGGCAGCAGUGGGGAAUAUUGCACAAUGGGGGGAACCCUGAUGCAGCGACGCCGCGUGGGUGAAGGAGCACCUCGGUGCGUAAAGCCCUCUCGGCAGGGAAGAAACAGACGGUACCUGACUAAGAAGCCCCGGCUAACUACGUGCCAGCAGCCGCGGUAAUACGUAGGGGGCAAGCGUUAUCCGGAUUCACUGGGUGUAAAGGGAGCGUAGACGGCGACGCAAGUCUGGAGUGAAAGCCCGGGGCCCAACCCCCGGACUGCUUUGGAAACUGUAUAGCUGGAGUGCAGGAGAGGUAAGUGGAAUUCCUAGUGUAGCGGUGAAAUGCGUAGAUAUUAGGAGGAACACCAGUGGCGAAGGCGGCUUACUGGACUGUAACUGACGUUGAGGCUCGAAAGCGUGGGGAGCAAACAGGAUUAGAUACCCCAGUA